UACGUAGGGUGCGAGCGUUAAUCGGAAUUACUGGGCGUAAAGCGUGCGCAGGCGGUUUUGUAAGCCAGAUGUGAAAGCCCCGGGCUUAACCUGGGAACUGCGUUUGAAACUGGGAGACUUGAGUGUGGCAGAGGGGGGUGGAAUUCCACGUGUAGCAGUGAAAUGCGUAGAUAUGUGGAGGAACACCGAUGGCGAAGGCAGCCCCCUGGGUUAACACUGACGCUCAUGCACGAAAGCGUGGGGAGCAAACAGG
This 253-nucleotide ribosomal RNA is filed under the name uncultured bacterium. Its description in RNAcentral is "partial 16S ribosomal RNA". It matches the Rfam family "Bacterial small subunit ribosomal RNA", at positions 524 to 776 of the family's 1533-position model. The record is from RNAcentral.